UACGGGGGGGGCAAGCGUUGUUCGGAAUUACUGGGCGUAAAGGGCUCGUAGGCGGCCAACUAAGUCGGACGUGAAAUCCCCAGGCUCAACCUGGGAACUGCGUCCGAUACUGGAUGGCUUGAAUCCGGGAGAGGGAUGCAGAAUUCCAGGUGUAGCGGUGAAAUGCGUAGAUAUCUGGAGGAAUACCGGUGGCGAAGGCGGCAUCCUGGACCGGCAUUGACGCUGAGGCGCGAAAGCGUGGGGAGCAAACGGG
RNAcentral lists this ribosomal RNA (253 nucleotides) under uncultured bacterium. RNAcentral's name for it is "partial 16S ribosomal RNA". It matches the Rfam family "Bacterial small subunit ribosomal RNA", at positions 524 to 776 of the family's 1533-position model. The record is from RNAcentral.